This 669-nucleotide ribosomal RNA is filed under the name uncultured Acidithiobacillus sp. Its description in RNAcentral is "bacterial SSU rRNA". It matches the Rfam family "Bacterial small subunit ribosomal RNA", at positions 8 to 673 of the family's 1533-position model. Lineage: Bacteria; Pseudomonadati; Pseudomonadota; Acidithiobacillia; Acidithiobacillales; Acidithiobacillaceae. The record is from RNAcentral.
AGAGUUUGAUCAUGGCUCAGAUUGAACGCUGGCGGCAUGCCUAACACAUGCAAGUCGAACGGUAGCAGGCCUUCGGGUGCUGACGAGUGGCGGACGGGUGAGUAAUGCGUAGGAAUCUGUCUUUUAGUGGGGGACAACCCAGGGAAACUUGGGCUAAUACCGCAUGAGCCCUGAGGGGGAAAGCGGGGGAUCUUCGGACCUCGCGCUAAGGGAAGAGCCUACGUCUGAUUAGCUAGUUGGUAGGGUAAAGGCCUACCAAGGCGACGAUCAGUAGCUGGUCUGAGAGGACGACCAGCCACACUGGGACUGAGACACGGCCCAGACUCCUACGGGAGGCAGCAGUGGGGAAUUUUUCGCAAUGGGGGCAACCCUGACGAAGCAAUGCCGCGUGGAUGAAGAAGGCCUUCGGGUUGUAAAGUCCUUUCGUGGGGGACGAAAAGGUGGUUCCUAAUACGAGCUGCUGUUGACGUGAACCCAAGAAGAAGCACCGGCUAACUCCGUGCCAGCAGCCGCGGUAAUACGGGGGGUGCAAGCGUUAAUCGGAAUCACUGGGCGUAAAGGGUGCGUAGGCGGUACGUUUAGGUCUGUCGUGAAAUCCCCGGGCUCAACCUGGGAAUGGCGGUAGAAACCGGCGCACUAGAGUAUGGGAGAGGGUGGUGGAAUUCCAGG